AGUGAACGCUGGCGGUAGGCCUAACACAUGCAAGUCGAACGGCAGCACAGUAAGAGCUUGCUCUUACGGGUGGCGAGUGGCGGACGGGUGAGGAAUACAUCGGAAUCUACUUUUUCGUGGGGGAUAACGUAGGGAAACUUACGCUAAUACCGCAUACGACCUACGGGUGAAAGCAGGGGAUCUUCGGACCUUGCGCGAUUGAAUGAGCCGAUGUCGGAUUAGCUAGUUGGCGGGGUAAAGGCCCACCAAGGCGACGAUCCGUAGCUGGUCUGAGAGGAUGAUAAGCCACACUGGAACUGAGACACGGUCCAGACUCCUACGGGAGGCAGCAGUGGGGAAUAUUGGACAAUGGGCGCAAGCCUGAUCCAGCCAUACCGCGUGGGUGAAGAAGGCCUUCGGGUUGUAAAGCCCUUUUGUAGGGAAAGAAAAGCAGCAGGUUAAUACCCCGCUGUUCUGACGGUACCCAAAGAAUAAGCACCGGCUAACUUCGUG
RNAcentral lists this ribosomal RNA (492 nucleotides) under uncultured bacterium. RNAcentral describes it as "partial 16S ribosomal RNA". It matches the Rfam family "Bacterial small subunit ribosomal RNA", at positions 29 to 507 of the family's 1533-position model. The record is from RNAcentral.